CACAGGUCCCCGGGACUCAGUCUCAGUCAACAUGUAUCAGGCUGCUCCUGGUGUGUCUUCCUGUAUGAGAGGCUAGAGAGCUGAGUGAACGCUGUGUUUCAUGGAUUCCCUUGAGCGGUAUUCCCACUGUCAUCUGCACUCAUAUGGACUCACAUGAGGAACUGCAUGAAGGCGGGUUGGGGAAAGCUAUCUGAAGAGGAAGAUUCUGAUACACAGACCUGUGUCAUCUCACUCUUCCUAACUCAUCAAAAUUGGAUGUUAACAAACAGAAGUUUCAGAAAUAUUCUCUACAGAGAUGAAAAGCCUCUGAGAGAUGGUACAAAUAUGUAAAAAUGUUCAAGAAGAGUUGGAGAAAUCAAUGAAUGCCAAUAUGUAAUGGGAUACUAUGAGAAGCUGGUGAUAUUUCAAGGAAUACCCUCAAUUUUCCAGUUGAUGGAAUGCAAAGUCAGAAUCAGUCAUGCUCUGUAAUCUAGUGCUCAGCAUUCGAGAUUUCACUGGAAAGACCAAAUCCUGGGCUGGAUCCUCGGUGGGUCUGAUCCAAUACAGCAAUUACUUCUCCCGUGUAAAGCUCCCAUAGCACCCUAUGCUUCUUUCCAUAGCAUUUAAUAUUCUGCAUUGUAAUUGAUUUUCACAUUUAUUUAGGAGGAUUGUGAAUUUAACUCAUACCACAUCUCCAAAAUACAGAGAAGCUGUAGUCCUUUUGUUAAUUAAUCCAGUCUUUUUCCUCCAUUCCUCCCUGCUGGUAAAAACAAUGACCAUUUAGCCUUUCCUGAUUUCAACUUAAUCUGAUCCAAUAAUUUAAACACUCCCUUUAAAAAGUGAUGUUAGUCUGUCUUGGAAAAUAAAA
Molecule: long non-coding RNA, 847 nt
Organism: Hyaena hyaena (striped hyena)
Lineage: Eukaryota; Metazoa; Chordata; Mammalia; Carnivora; Hyaenidae
Exons: 3
Source: RefSeq, a predicted model, not a curated record